RNAcentral lists this ribosomal RNA (255 nucleotides) under uncultured bacterium. RNAcentral's name for it is "partial small subunit ribosomal RNA". It matches the Rfam family "Bacterial small subunit ribosomal RNA", at positions 26 to 285 of the family's 1533-position model. The record is from RNAcentral.
AGGACGAACGCUGGCGGCGUGCUUAACACAUGCAAGUCGAGCGGAAAGGCCCUUCGGGUACGUCGAGCGGCGAACGGGUGAGUAACACGUGAGCAACCUGCCCCUGGCUCUGGGAUAGCUCCGGGAAAACCGGGAUUAAUACCGGAUAUGACCUUCCGUUGCAUGACGGCGGGUGGAAAGUUUUUCGGCUGAGGAUGGGCCCGCGGCCUAUCAGCUUGUUGGUGGGGUAAUGGCCUACCAAGGCGACGACGGGUA